Molecule: long non-coding RNA, 581 nt
Organism: Hermetia illucens (black soldier fly)
Lineage: Eukaryota; Metazoa; Arthropoda; Insecta; Diptera; Stratiomyidae
Exons: 4
Source: RefSeq, a predicted model, not a curated record
UUAAGAUAAUAAUUUUUUUUCGUUCAGUUGAGUCAAUUUAAGCCAUUUCGGUGCAACUUCCAUUGGGAUUACUAAAAUGGAUGCAGUCACAAACACAGUUGAAGUUGCAGAGUUAUUCCCGAUUUUACUGGAGGUGCAUCUCCAAGAACUGAAUGACACUCGAAGUGGAGACCUUGCAAGGAUACGUCGGCGUUUUCAUCAAAAUCGAGUUUGCUGAUCAACAUCACAGCAUGAUCUUCAAAAUUGAAGUCCCGUUUUUAUCAUAAAAGUAUAUAAAUCACAAGGAUGCCUGUCAAUGACUAAAUAAGGGUGGAGAAAAGUGGUUAGAUUACAAUAACACCGAGCGGUAUAAUUUGAGUCAAUCCCUUCAACUCCUGAAAAUAAACGUGCUAAAGUUAAAAAAAAUGUCGAUUGUCAUAUCCGCACCACCAACAUAGUAAAAAUGCCAAAUCCCCAAAUCAGAUCAGAAUAGAAGUGGAGAAAGCUUUAUAUAGUUACUCAUAUACAGGAUAAAGAACUUUUUGCGGGGAUUAUCAAACUAUAUAUAAAUUGUCAAAACAUUAAAUUAGAUAAAAAAAACG